CAGGAUUAGAGUAAGUGGAGUCCUGGAACACAGGAGCCAGAGUCUGGGAAUGGAGCACAGUGUGGUGAAGGGAAUCAGGCAGGCUUCCCCUGGAAUCCUUGUUCAGCCCCUCACACACACCCGCUGUGUGGUCUGGGCAGGCCAUUGACCUCUCUUAGCUCCACUUCCUCACUUGUCAAAUGAGGAUCAUCAAGUCUGACCACGAUUGGAGAGGAUGUGUGUAAGAUGUGGUGUUCAGUCGGCGGCAGUGGCUAGCUGACUAUUACCACUGUUGUUAUGAGUUCUAAGUGCAGGAGGAGUGGGAAAGAAUGGGUAUUUCCUGCCCCUGACUCUCAGGCCCUGGAAGGCUGAGAGGUUCAGUGAGAGAACGUGGCAUUGGCAUCUGAUAGGCCAGGUUGGACCUCGUCUCCACUGUGUGAGCCCAGCAGUGACUCAUCCUCACCAGGCCGCCACUUCCACACUGAUACACAAGAUGCAUUAUAGGUCUGCUCAGAGACUGAGUGAGAUUUAACACGGCGUGGGUCUAGCACAGUGUCUGUUGUGUCUGCCCUGCUUCCCUUUUGCCUCUGUCUGAACCCAGUGAGGCCAGCUCCCUGGCUCCAUCCUCUGCCCUCCUCAAGCGGUCCCAACCAUCCUUGUCUUGCCUGAUUUUUGCCACACUUCCUUGCUCCUCUUCUCCAAAACCAUAUUCACCUGUCACUUCCCUUGCUCAAGAGCCUACCAUAGCUCCCUAUUACUGAUCACAUCUAAAUCAGCCUUCUCAGCCUGGCAUUUGAGGCCCUUUCACCUCACCUUCCAGCCCCAUUUUCUCUCCCUUGUCUCACCAGACGCCCCUUGCCCUAAGCUGACUUGGCCCUGGCUGACCUCCUGCUCCCCAAACUUUCCCCACAGCACUCAUCUCUUGUGGCCUCCCUCCACCCUCCUCCCUUGUCUUCCAAGCUGGACCCAGCUCAUCCAUCUCCAAGCUCCAACAAACAAGUUACAGACAAACCAAAUCUCAAGCAGCAGCCAAGAGGAAGCCUGUCCAUAAUGGGCCAUAAUACAGUUACCGGCGGGUCGGCUUUGGGAAGAAUCAGAUCCUCAGAAAGAGAUGGCCCCUCUUCAAACUCCAGACACAACAUGUCUGGAUGUGACGUCUGGAACUUCAGCAGCCAUCUUGCAACCAUGAGGGGAGCUAUAGCACUGGAGGAGCAAGCCAACACCUGAGGAGAGCAAAGCA
RNAcentral lists this long non-coding RNA (1219 nucleotides) under Equus caballus (horse). Its description in RNAcentral is "lncRNA (ENSECAG00000056698.1)". Lineage: Eukaryota; Metazoa; Chordata; Mammalia; Perissodactyla; Equidae. The record is from RNAcentral.